Molecule: transfer RNA, 73 nt
Filed under: Elusimicrobiota bacterium
Lineage: Bacteria; Pseudomonadati; Elusimicrobiota
Description: tRNA-Lys
Rfam family: tRNA
About the family: Transfer RNA (tRNA) molecules are approximately 80 nucleotides in length. Their secondary structure includes four short double-helical elements and three loops (D, anti-codon, and T loops).
Source: RNAcentral
GGGCCAGUAGCUCAGUUGGUAGAGCACAUCCCUUUUAAGGAUGGGGUCGUGCGUUCGAACCGCACCUGGCUCA